UACGUAGGGGGCAAGCGUUGUCCGGAUUUACUGGGCGUAAAGAGCGCGUAGGCGGAAGCGCCAGUCCGGCCUGAAAGCCCCCGGCUCAACCGGGGAGAGUGGCUGGAAACUGCGUUUCUUGAGGGCGAGAGAGGAGGGUGGAAUUCCUGGUGUAGCGGUGAAAUGCGUAGAGAUCAGGAGGAACACCCGGGGCGAAGGCGGCCCUCUGGCUCGACUCUGACGCUGAGGCGCGAAAGCGUGGGGAGCGAACGGG
RNAcentral lists this ribosomal RNA (253 nucleotides) under uncultured bacterium. RNAcentral describes it as "partial 16S ribosomal RNA". It matches the Rfam family "Bacterial small subunit ribosomal RNA", at positions 524 to 776 of the family's 1533-position model. The record is from RNAcentral.